This 474-nucleotide long non-coding RNA is filed under the name Aotus nancymaae (Ma's night monkey). Its description in RNAcentral is "lncRNA (ENSANAG00000038765.1)". The record is from RNAcentral. Lineage: Eukaryota; Metazoa; Chordata; Mammalia; Primates; Aotidae.
CAAAAGAAGUCAUCAUUGAAAAAUGUCACCUAAACUCUCACCUUGUUUAGCAACAACAAUAAACAGAGAAAAGCAAUCCAGUGAAAGAAUAUGAAAAGAAGUAUGGACUUGAUUACAGGAAAAAUGAUGAUUGCUAGUAUUAGGGUGAAGAAGUGAGACCCUACAUGGCUUUUUAGUGCAUGGAUGGAGCAGAGACACGUCUAUGAACCACUGCCUAUGCAAACUGAUUACUCGGCAGUAUAAUUUCUCAGUUUUUACAAGUAAAUGAGUGCUUCUCACUAUGGAUUUAGCUUGCGCUUCAAUUUAGGAGAAUGUGUCUGGAUAGAGGCUGCCCUAUCAGUCUGCCUCCUGUAAUGUACAUUUGGAAUACAGCCACAGCUACAAUGGACAAAGGAUGAGUGAGAAAUAACAUUCUGCUCUUGUAAGGUACUGAAAUUCUGGAUUCAUUUGUUAUGACACAUUGCUGAUAUUCUC